GACGAACGCUGGCGGCGUGCUUAACACAUGCAAGUCGUACGGUAAGGCCCUUUCGGGGGUACACGAGUGGCGAACGGGUGAGUAACACGUGAGUAACCUGCCCACAACUUUGGGAUAACGCUAGGAAACUGGUGCUAAUACUGGAUAUGUGCUCCUGCUGCAUGGUGGGGGUUGGAAAGCUCCGGCGGUUGUGGAUGGACUCGCGGCCUAUCAGCUUGUUGGUGGGGUAGUGGCCUACCAAGGCGGCGACGGGUAGCCGGCCUGAGAGGGUGACCGACCACAUUGGGACUGAGAUACGGCCCAGACUCCUACGGGAGGCAGCAGUGGGGAAUAUUGCACAAUGGGCGCAAGCCUGAUGCAGCAACGCCGCGUGCGGGAUGACGGCCUUCGGGUUGAAAACCGCUUUCAGCAGGGACGAAGCUUUUUGUGACGGUACCUGCAGAAGAAGCACCGGCUAACUACGUG
Molecule: ribosomal RNA, 465 nt
Filed under: uncultured bacterium
Lineage: Bacteria
Description: partial 16S ribosomal RNA
Rfam family: Bacterial small subunit ribosomal RNA
Source: RNAcentral